Long non-coding RNA from Gallus gallus (chicken), 2053 nucleotides. The record is from Ensembl. NCBI's taxonomy places the organism in Eukaryota, Metazoa, Chordata, Aves, Galliformes, Phasianidae.
CGCCCUUCGGCGCGGGGGGGUCGGGGCCGGAGGGCCUCGAGCAAAAGCACGCGCACAGGUAGCGCGGGAGCGUGCUUUGCGGGAGCCGAAGGGACGCCCCGGGGCAUCUGCGAGCGUGGGGCUGUCCGGUGACUCUCUUUUGAACCUCGUUCUGCGCGCCCUGCGCUCGCUUUCCCCCUCCAACCUGUCCCGGCUGUCCGGGGAUGGGCUGCCAGAGCGUUUCUCCGUGCCGCGUAGCGCCGCGACCGUCCCGCUGCCGGCCGCGCUCCGGGCUCUGCUGCUGCUGCUGGCUGCGCUCGGUGCGCGCUCCCUGGGUGUCACCUCCGAGCGAUCCCGGACCGAGAGAAAGCUCCUACGAGAGCAAAGUUGGGCGCUUCCCUCAGAGCGUCGCGAACCUCAGCGCAAGCCGAGGUGCUCCCCGAGCAGGGUAUUCCCUCCUGCCGAGCGGCCAGCGCUAUGGAAAGAACCGAGGGGAAGCGGGAGGAAUCUCCGCGCGCUUCCCCGAAGCCACACGGGCGCAUCCCGGUGGCAGCGCGGGGCUGAGCUCCUCAGCCCGGUGUGUUUGGAAGCGUAACGCGAUACAUCGCCUCCCUUGAUCUCAUUCUGCCUUCCUCCUUAGCCGUACCUCACUGUACUUAAGAGGACGGUUUUGCUACCAGCCCUCUCCCCCCAUCCCCACGUUUUCAUCUCUUCCUCCUGCUUGCUCUCCUCUCGACAGCUCCAUACCUUUCCAUUAUUUCCUCACACGCAUCACACCACUCGAUCUCUGGCCAUUCCUGGCACCGCUCUCUGCCUUUGGCCACCACCCAGGUGUCCACACAGAGUUGGCAUCCAUCCCAUCCCGUACUACUGCCAUGUCCCGGCCCCGGGUGGCCUCUGUCAUCCCACUGCCACCUCGGCCUGCCCUGACUUUCCACCAGCCAUUGCUCAUCUCUGGAGAUGGAGUCACCUCCAACCUGUCUGGUACCAGGACCUGCAUACCUGGCAUCGUGGUCACGCAUGCUCACACUAGAUUCCAUCACAUACGAAGUAUAAGCAGUACCUGUUGGACUUGGCUAGGGUUUUUGCUGUGGACUUCCCCAUCACCAGUUUGUGCUUCUCUCUUGCCAUGGGCAUGGCCAAAGACUCCACUGCUCACCUGUGCUGCAUACUGUUUAACGCUCUUUGCCCUGGCACAUCCUUUAGCCGCAUAACGACCCUGAUAUGCUUUGUUGUCGCCAGUAUUUCCACCCCAGCGGAUCACCUUUCAGCUUGGCAUUAUGGGGAGCCCUCCAAGAGAGGUGUGCGAAGGGACAGGCACUGCACAGCUGCACUGGUGCAUCUGUCAGCCAACCAGCCGGUCAACCAUUCAGGCACCUCAAUGCUGCACUCGGGAGUUCCUGUCCUCCAAAAUAUACCUCUUCUUUCCCAAAAUUCUGAUACCUCGGCCUGACAAGCACUUCAUAUAUGAAACCUUAACGCCACAGCCUGCUGUUAGGAAUGUGCACGCUGCACCCAGUGCUGGAGCGAAACCAGAAGGGUAGAGCUCAGGUGUUUUGGAACCAUCCCACAGGCAGCCCCUGGCGGCCUUCCAGCAUGCUCUUCCUUUAAGCGUGCUCACUGUGCCUCUGGAGAAGACUGCUGAUCCAUCAGUUAAUCGUAUUGAAGGAAGAAGAAGGCUCUGAGCCUCUGGUUAGCUUCUCUCGCAAGUCCUGACUGCCUUCUGCCUACAUCUCCCGCGUAUGGGAACUGAUUGCUCUGCUCUCUACUGCUUAUUUCCAUGGAGCUGCCACCUGUAACAGGCCCGCCUGGAAGAAAAAGACCAAAAAAAAAACCCACUCAAAACCCAAGAAGCACGUUACUUGGGCUGCCCUCUUGCUUUUUUCUACCCUUCCAGUCAGGCAUGAUUUUAACAGGUUCUAUCUUGAGAAGUACUAAAUCCAGAAACCAGUAUUUUAUGCCAUCUGGAAGCUUGAUAUCCUUGUUUUUCAAAUGGCUCACAAAAAUAUAUCUAAUUCUAAAUACAAACUAUGGGCUGCUAAAUUCCAAUUCAGAGCAGAAUAAAAACUAAUGC